This is a long non-coding RNA of Micropterus salmoides (largemouth bass), 1159 nucleotides long. RefSeq lists it as uncharacterized. The transcript has 4 exons. The record is from RefSeq and is a predicted model, not a curated record. NCBI's taxonomy places the organism in Eukaryota, Metazoa, Chordata, Actinopteri, Centrarchiformes, Centrarchidae.
AAUUUCCAUGCCCUUGUCAAUAGAAUAUAACUAUAAAUGUUCUCUUGUAUGUUCAAAAUUUUGAAUGAACCUAAAUUUAGUUGUUCUGAAUUCCAGGACUGUCAGUCUGGGAGAAGUACAGAGUGGAAAGCUUGUGAACAGCAGAAUGGUGGUUGUAAGAUUUACUGAGCAGGAGGCCAGUGUCCCAUCCAUGAUUGCCAAAGUAAAAGAUGCCUUAGGAAGCGAUGAACAACUCAUCCUGACAAACCACAAUGGAGUGGAAAUAUUGGACUCAGAAGGAACAAGAGGCACCUUUUAUUGGAAGCAGAACUCGCGAAAAAUCAUGGCUGUACCAGAGGUUGAUUUCCAAGCUGUACAACAAAAGAGGCGAAGAAUCUCACGCAGAGAUGAUGAGGGUGGACUGGACAGUAUGUUCGAGAAGAUCUAGGAGCUUGUCCUGGCUGCUCAGGGUUUGUCUGAGGUGACAACUGCCAUUCAGGGACUCUGGUUCAUCGAAACGGGAACACAACAUUAGUACUGACCGAAAAAAAAGUCCCGGAAUGUUAGGGAUACAUUCACUUGUCUAGUUUGCAGAGGAAUCAUAGAAGAUCCAGUAUUUGCAGCAUGCUGUGGAAGUUUGGUCGGAUGCAGAUCCUGCACUACUGUGUGGCUUCAGAAUUCCUCAAAGUGUCUAGCAGAUGAUUUUUCCAUCAACAUUCACAGAGUCACUGGCCUUUCUGGUGUAGUAAAUGUCAUGAGAGAGCUGGCACGCGAAGAGUAAAUGCUGCUUUUCUGCUUGCCACCAAUCCUUACUUGUCAGUGUUAUAUCAUUUUAUAAAUACUUAUUGAUAUUGAGGAUUGAUAUUUUUACGUUGCAUCAAUGUUCUUAGCUCUGGAGUAUUAAGAGCUAGAAAAUGUAACGAUGUUUUAUGUUACAUCAUUGUUCCCACCUCACAGUAGUUUUAUAAGAGCUAGUAGGCCUAAAUGUGGCAAGAUGUUUUUAUGCUACAUUAUUGUUCUCAGCCCACAGUGAUUUUAUAAGAGCUAGUAGGUCUAAAUGUGGCAAUAUGUUGUGACAGGCUCUUCUGUGGAGAUUUGCUAAGCUAGACUUACUUUGUUUACACAAUUUAUGUGUCUCUGAUUAUUCUUUCUGUACAAAAGCAAAAUAAAUAUAUUUUUU